This 468-nucleotide ribosomal RNA is filed under the name uncultured bacterium. Its description in RNAcentral is "partial 16S ribosomal RNA". It matches the Rfam family "Bacterial small subunit ribosomal RNA", at positions 28 to 507 of the family's 1533-position model. The record is from RNAcentral.
GACGAACGCUGGCGGCGUGCUUAAUACAUGCAAGUCGAACGGAAAGGCCCUGCUUUUGUGGGGUGCUCGAGUGGCGAACGGGUGAGUAACAAGUGAGUAACCUGCCCUUGACUCUGGGAUAACUUCAGGAAACUGGGGCUAAUACCGUAUAGGAGCUCCUGCUGCAUGGUGGGGGUUGGAAAGUUUCGGCGGUUGGGGAUGGACUCGCGGCUUUUCAGUUUGUUGGCGGGGUAGUGGCUUCCCAAGGCCUUGACGGGUAGCCGGCCUGAGAGGGUGACCGUCCACGUUGAGACUAGGAUACGACACAGAAUCCUACGGGAGGUAGCCGUGGAGAAAAUUGCACAGUGGGCGGAAGCCUGAUAGAUGAGCGCACCGUGCGGGAUCGCGGCCUGCGGGUUGUGAACCACUUUCGCCUGUGACGAAGGGUGAGUGACGGUAAUGGGUAAAGAGGCACCGGCUAACUAUGUG